This 376-nucleotide ribosomal RNA is filed under the name uncultured bacterium. RNAcentral describes it as "bacterial SSU rRNA". It matches the Rfam family "Bacterial small subunit ribosomal RNA", at positions 521 to 896 of the family's 1533-position model. The record is from RNAcentral.
UAAGACGAACCGUGCGAACGUUGUUCGGAUUCACUGGGCUUAAAGGGCGCGUAGGCGGGCCAUCAAGUCGGGGGUGAAAUCUUUCAGCUUAACUGGAAAAUAGCCUUCGAUACUGGUGGUCUGGAGGAAGGUAGGGGCAUGCGGAACUUCCGGUGGAGCGGUGAAAUGCGUAGAUAUCGGAAGGAACGCCGGUGGCGAAAGCGGCGUGCUGGACCUUUUCUGACGCUGAGGCGCGAAAGCCAGGGGAGCAAACGGGAUUAGAUACCCCGGUAGUCCUGGCCCUAAACGAUGGGUACUAGAUUGUAGGCUUGACAUGGGCUUACAGUCGAAGCAAAAGUCUUAAGUACCCCGCCUGGGGAGUAUGGUCGCAAGGCUG